CUCACUGUAGAUUAGUUUUUUAAUGUUGUUUGGUUGCCUUUCUAUAGUGUUGACAGACUCACUGUAGAUCAGUUUUUUUAAUGUUGUUUGUGUUGCCUUCUUAGUGUUGACAGACUCACUGUAAUCAGUUUUUAAUGUUGUUUGGUUGCUUCUAUAGUGUUUGACAGACUCACGUAGAUUAGUUUUUUUUAAUGUUUUUUGUUGCCUUUCUAUAGUGUUGACAGACUCACUGUAGAUUAGUUUUUUUGUUGUUUGUUGCCUUUCUAUAGUGUUGACGACUCACUGUAGAUCAGUUUUUUUAAUGUUGUUUGGUUGCCUUUCUAUAGUGUUGACAGACUCACUGUAGAUUAGUUUUUUAAUGUUGUUUGGUUGCCUUUCUAUAGUGUUGACAGACUCACUGUAGAUUAGUUUUUUUUUAAUGUUUUUUUGGUUGCCUUUCUAUAGUGUUGACAGACACUGUAGAUUGUUUUUUAAUGUUGUUUGGUGCUUUCUAUAGUUUUGACGACUCACUGUAGAUUAGUUUUUUAAUGUUGUUUGGUUGCUUUCUAUAGUGUUGACAGACUCACUGUAGAUAAAGAAGUUAGUUUUUUAAUGUUUUUGGUUGCCUUUCUAUAGUGUUGACAGACUCACUGUAAUCAGUUUUUUAAUUGUUUGGUUGUUUUCUAUAGUGUUGACAGACUCACUGUAGAUCAGUUUUUAAUGUUGUUUGGUUGCCUUUCUAUAGUGUUGACAGACUCACUGUAGAUUAGUUUUUUUUAAUGUUUUUUGGUUGCCUUUCUAUAGUGUUGACAGACUCACUGUAGAUUAGUUUUUUAAUGUUGUUUUGGUUGCUUCUAUAGUGUUGACAGACUCACUGUAGAUCAGUUUUUUAAUGUUUUUGGUUGCCUUUCUAUAGUGUUGACAGACUCACUGUAGAUAGUGUUUGUUUACUUUUAUGUUUUUGGUUGCCUUUCUAUAGUGUUGACAGAUCACUGUAGAUUAGUUUUUUAUGUUGUUUUGGUUUUUUCUUUGUUAACUGUGUUAAGUUGUUUGGUUGCCUUUCUAUAGUGUUGACAGACUCACUGUAGAUAGUUUUUAAUGUUGUUGGUUGCCUUCUAUAGUGUUGACAGACUACUGUAGAUUAGUUUUUUAUAGUGUUGACAGCAUGUAGAUUAGUUUUUUAAUGUUGUUUGUUGCCUUUUAUAGUGUUGACAGACUCACUGUAGAUUAGUUUUUUAAUGUUGUUUGGUUGCCUUUCUAUAGUGUUGACAGACUCACUGUAGAUAAGUUUUUUUUAAUGUUUUUUGGUUGCCUUUCUAUAGUGUUAAAAGACCAUGUAGAUUAAUAUUAUCAGUUUUUUAAUGUUGUUGGUUGCCUUUCUAUAGUGUUGACAGACGUCACUGUAGAUCAGUUUUUAAUGUUGUUUGGUUGCCUUUCUAUAGUGUUGACAACUCACUGUAGCUUUUUUUUAAUGUUUUUUGGUUGCCUUUUCUAUAGUGUUGACAGACUCACUGGUAGAUUAGUUUUUUAUGUUUUUGGUUGCCUUUCUAUAGUUGACAGACUCACUGUAAUGUUUUUUAAUGUUGUUUGGUUGCCUUUCUAUAGUGUUGACAGACUCACUGUAGAUCAGUUUUUUAAUGUUGUUUGGUUGCCUUUCUAUAGUGUUGACAGACUCACUGUAGAUUAGUUUUUUUAAUGUUUUUUGGUUGCCUUUCUAUAGUGUUGACAGACUCACUGUAGAUUAAUUUUUUAAUGUUGUUUGGUUGCCUUUCUAUAGUGUUGACAGACUCACUGUAGAUUAGUUUUUUUUAAUGUUGUUUGGUUGCCUUUCUAUAGUGUUGACAGACUCACUGUAGAUUAGUUUUUUAAUGUUGUUUGGUUGCCUUUCUAUAGUGUUGACAGACUCACUGUAGAUUAGUUUUUUAAUGUUGUUUGGUUGCCUUUCUAUAGUGUUGACAGAC
This 1940-nucleotide long non-coding RNA is filed under the name Mytilus galloprovincialis (Mediterranean mussel). The record is from RNAcentral. Lineage: Eukaryota; Metazoa; Mollusca; Bivalvia; Mytilida; Mytilidae.